This is a non-coding RNA of Benincasa hispida (wax gourd), 6788 nucleotides long. The record is from RefSeq and is a predicted model, not a curated record. Lineage: Eukaryota; Viridiplantae; Streptophyta; Magnoliopsida; Cucurbitales; Cucurbitaceae.
UUUAAAGGAGGGGGGAGGGGAUUCUUUCAUCUCUUUGUUCGUAUUGUUCUUCCCCAAAUCCAGUAUCAUGACUAUCUACAGUUACAGAUGAGCAGUUUUCGAAACUGAAUAUGUAAAUACAAGAUGGUUGAUAAUUAAAAUUUGGCAAAAAAUCAAGGGAGGUUGGAAAAGGAAGAAAGGGAAUGGAAGAAAUAAAAGGAGAAGAGGGAAUGAAAAUGAAGGGCGUGCACAAAUUUGUAUGCAACGAAACUCGCCCAUGGGUUUGUUUGAGAUUCUGAUUGUGUGGAUGGAUAUGAACCGGAGCGAGAACAACAGUGGUGGUAGAGGGGAUGCCGAAGGGGGAGCCCCAGAGCGGCAGAGAACUCUAAUAUCAGCGGCUGUUCUCCAAGAGGCUCGUGGAAUUCCAAGGAACUCUCAGCAGAUUUUGAAACGAGAAUGAACUUCUCAGUAGCUUCAAUCCCUCUGAACUGGACCAAUUUCAAUCUUGGUGUUCAAAUGCAUUGGCUGUUGGAGCAAAAAGUUUGUGCAUUGAAGAUAAUAUGGGAUGGAUUAAACUAAAGAUGUCCAUAGCCACAAAGAUUGACAUGGAAAAUUCAGCAAUUAGCAGCGAGAAUGAUAGAAAUAUGAUCUCACAAAAAAAUAGCAUAAUAGAUAUUCCACGUGGCCCAACUACUAUAUCUGAGUUGGCACAAAUAAGAACAUCUGGGCAAUGGUUGGCCAUCGAUUAUAAUGAACAUGAACAAUUGAUUGGAUUUAGUGCAAAGAAGAUGCAAAGAUAUAUAGGAAUUUGUGUUCAACAACAAAUACCUAUAACGUAUAAUUUUUGGAAAAAAGUUCCAAACCAUUUAAAAGUCAAACUUUUUGAUUAUGUAGUGGUAUAUUUUCUAAAACUUUAAUUCACGUGCAUAGUAGUUUAUUAGUUUAUUGUUUAUUACUUUUUUCAUUGUCCAGAUGUCGUUCGAUGUGGACUCUAAGUCCAAACAUGGUAUACUCAUGUCUGCAUCUAGGAAGUUUCAGACUUUCAAGACCACAUUGACUCAAAAGUUCAUACUUUCAUUUAAGGAUAAACCCUUGGUUUUGCAAUUUUAUCCUAAAAAAUAUUCUCAUAUAGAGCAAGAUCAAUGGACAUCGUUUGUUAAUGAAUAAUUGAGUAAAGAAUGGGAUGUAAGUCAUUUUAAAUAAAUGUCAAUAUUAUCAUUGUUUUGAUAGGUAAUUUCAACUAUAUUUAUUGUACAGAAAAUCAGUCGUCUUCAAAAAGAAAGAAGGUCGAAAUAUGUAUAUAAUCAUCACAUUUCUCGAAAGGAUUAUGCACAUCUUACCCAAGAAUUAGUAAGUUUUUCGACUUAAAUUAAAUCUUUUAUUCUAAUAUGUUUAUAUUAAUUAAAUAUAUAUGUUCAUGUAAAACCUAUCGAGUGAUCCUUCUUAUCAAGCGACUUUUAUGGAAAGAAGCACGAAAAGGAAAAAAUAAUGAAUACUUUGAUGAAACCACUUGAGAAUGUGCCAAUCGAAUUGUAAGUUUAUAUUGUGCAAAGUUUAAGAUGACAUAUAUAUAAUGUCUGAAGUUUGUGAUGAUAUAGAUAUGGAGCCUCUCUCAAUUUCUUGACUCAUUGUAGACUUUAGUUUUACUAAUUUGAAAUAUUAGGAACGGGAAACAAAAUCACUCACUUCUCUAACACGUCCCCAAUGUUCAUCUGUACCCAAUGCUUUGGUCAAAACAUCUUCACCUUCAUAUACUUUGGCCAAUUUAUCCGGUAAAAUAUAUUACAAUUUUUAAGUUUCAGACAUUAUAUAUAUGUCAUCUUAAACUUUGCACAACAUAAACUUACAAUUUGACUAGCACAUUCUCGUGGCUUCAUCAAAGUAUUCAUUAUUUUUUCCUUUUCGUGCUUCUUUUCAUAAAGUCGCCCGAUUAGAAGGAUCAUUCGAUAUAUUCUACAUGAACAUACAUAUUUAAUUAGCAUAAACAUAUUAUAAUAAAAAAUUUAAUUCAAGUCGAAAAACUUACUAAUUCUUGGGCAAUAUUCGCAUAACCCUUAUGAGAAAUAUGAUGAUUAUAUACACAUUUCGACCUUCUUUUUUUUUUAAGAUGAUUGAUUUCCUGCAUAUCUAAUCUAGUUGAAGUUACCUAUCAAAACAAUGAUAAUAUUGACAUUUAUUUAGAAUGACUUACAUCUCAUUCUUCACUCAAUCGUUCAUUAACAAAUGUUGUCCACUGAUCUUGAUCUAUAUGAGAAUAUUGUUGAAGAGUAAAUUGCAAGACCGAUGGUUCAUCUUUAUAUGGAAUUAUGAACUUUUGAGUCAAUGUGGUCUUGAAAGUCCGAAACUUUCCAAAUGCAGACAUGAGUAUACUAUGUUUGGACUUAGAGUCCAUAUCGAACGACAUCUGCACAAUAAAAAAAAUAGAAAACAAUAAAUUAAUAAACUACUAUGCACAUGAAUUAAAGUUUUAGAAAACAUACCGCUAUACAAUAAAAAAAGUUUAUUUUUAGAUGGUUUGGAACUUUUUUCCAAGAAUUAUAUGUUAUAGGUAUUUGUUGGCAAACACAAACUCUGAUAUAACUUUGCAUUUUCUUUGCAUCAAAUCCAAUAGGUUGUCCAUGUUCAUUAUAAUCAAUGGCCAAUCGUUGCUCAAAUGUUUUUAUUUGUGCCAACUUAGACAUAGUAGUUGGGCUACGAGGAAUACUUAUUUUGCUAUUUGUUUGUGGGGUCAUAUUUCUAUCAUCUUGGUUGUUACUUGUUGAAUUUUCUAUGUGAAUCUGCAAAAAGAAAAAAAAAAACAUUACUCACAAAAAAACAUAUAAUUUUAAUAUUUAAUACAUAUAACUAUAAUAAAUGACAUACCAUGUUUAAUACAUUAUAUAUCAACACAUCUACCCUCACAAUCAUAAAAAAAAAAAAAAAAGUCAAACAAAAAAGCUUGAUUGUAAAAUAUGCAACUUAAUCUUUAAAAUAAAAAAAAAAACAAUAAUAAGCGAAAAUUACGUAACCGUAAGCUUGUAAAUUUAACCAUGAUGAAUAAUAAGACUUGAAACAAUAACAAAUUGGUUUUGAUAUACACUUGAACCACACCAAGCAAGAUUAUCAACCAAGUACAUGUUUUUUUUAACUAAUUUCAUUCCAACAUUAACAAAUUUCAAGAAGCUUAAUCAUUGGAACAAAACAUAAAAUUAAUAAAAUAACACUUGAACCACACCAAUCAAGUUCAAUCAACCAAGUAAGACCAAGUUUGUUUAUAUAUAAUUGAAAGAAAAGGAUUUUGAUAUACACUUGAACCACACCAAGCAAGACUAUCAACCAAGUACACAUUUUGUAACUAUUUUCAUUCCAACAUUAACAAAUUUCAAUAAGCUUAAUCAUUGGAACAAAACAUAAAAUUAAUGAAAUAACACUUGAACCAUACCAACCUUAAUCAACCAAGUAAGACCAAGUUAUUUUAUAUAUAAUUGAAAAAAAAGGAUUUUGAUAUACACUUGAACCACACCGAACAAUACUACCAACCAAGUAUAUAUUUUUCAACUAAUUUAAUUUCAACAUUAACAAUUUUCAAGAAGUUUAAUCAUUGGAACAAAACAUAAAAUUAAUGAAAUAACACUUGAAUCAUACCAAUCAAACUUAAUUAACCAAGUUAGACCAAAUUAGUUUAUAUAUAAUUGAAAGAAAAGGAUUUUGAUAUACAAAUUAUACCAAGCAAGACUACCAACCAAGUAUAUAUUUUUCAACUAAUUUAAUUCCAACAUUUCAAAAUUUCAAUAAGUUUAAUCAUUAAAAUAAAAAUAAAAUGAAUAAAAUAACUUUAAUUUACUAAAUUGAAAAUUCAUAUGAAAAUAAAAUUUUACCUUUACAAGCAAACAACUUAAACAACCCACAAACUUGAAGAGAUCUAAACUGGAGUUUGAAGAUUGGAACGCCGGCAAGCACGGGACCUUGCAAAUAGAGUUAGACGGCGGAUCUGACAAAAUUACAACAUCGACGAUCGGAUCGGAAGAUCCACAAGUAGAUCGGGCAAAUAGACGACCAGAUCAGAAAAACCCACAACUAAAUCUAUGAUCCAUGCCAGCGACCCACCUCUACGACCAGAACCAGUUGGGCGAACGGCGAGCUGACCAGCUGGAAGAAUAGCCACGACGAACAACCACUAGAAGAACAACAGAACAACACCCACGCAACAACUACAAAAACCAACUGGAGCACACCUAUGCAAAGAAUAAUCGAGAACACCCACGCGAAGAAAACCCGGAGAACACCCACUCGCCGACAAAAACCAACUGAAGAACAACCAGAAGAACAACCACGAUGAACAACCAUCGGAAGAACAACCGAAAAAACAACCACUGGAAGAACAAUGGCCACACGACGACGAAAAUAAACCAGAGAACACCCACGACGAUGACCCACCACCGGAAGAAGCCCACGACGAUGGAGAUCCAAGCAACACCGAUGACGACGAUGAUCAGAAGUGAUUUGCAUGUUCAAGCUAAGGAGAAGAGAGGGUUUGGUAAGAGAGAAGUGAAAAGAGAGAGAAGAUUUGAUAGGAAAUGAAGAAGAUAUUUUUAAUAAAAUUAAAAAUAAAUAAAUAAAUGAGAGGCAUUUAAUGUCGGUUUUUUUUAAAACCGACAUUAUACAUCCGAUUUCACUUUUUUUAACCGACAUUAAAGCCCAAAAUUUUCGUAGUGAAUGCAGCCACUUUUUGGAGAUAGUAGAGGCUAUUAGAAGCUUGGGACUGACAAUACUUAAAGGCAUAACAGAAGCUCACGGCGAGAACACAUGGAUUUGUUUUGUGGUUGAGAUAUUAAUAAGCCAAAAUCAGAAUUCUUAAUGUUGGUUGUGAAGAGCUAAAAUUUUCCUCUCUUUAAAAUACUACUUUUGCUAAUGCAAUCCACCAUAAUUAACAGCACAUGAGAUUUAUUCAAUUUGUAGAGUAGUGUGAACGCCAAUAUCAUGUUCAUUAUACUUGUCAAUCAUUGUUUGAUAUCUGAUUUUGAACUAUGGUAGGGGGAGAUUCACAGAAACAUACACAAAAUGGAUAUCUUAUGGUCCCUUGUUCAAAUACUAUAGAAACAUAAUACAAUGUGAUGGCUUCAACUGCUAAACUUUUUGCAACUGUUUGUGUAGAUUCCUUAUGUAAAAUAGUGUGAGUUGCUUGUUGUGACUAUUGAUUCAUCUGUCUCCUCCUUUAUCGAGUGCAACACUUUUCUCAGAAAUUCACCCUUCCCCAUACAACGGAAGACAAAGAAGGAUAAAGAAAAAGAAAAAAGAAAAAGAAAAUUCCAUGAAGGUUGGAUUAAAAUUCCAUAGAUUUAUUUUUUCAUUUGAAAUUAGAUGCAAGGCCAGUGACUGCAUUGGUUUUGUGUUGUUGUGUGGUGUAGUGUUGCAAGUUUUUUUUUUUUUUUUUUUUUUUUGUCCUCGAAAGAGAAUUGUCUAUUUAUGCUUUCUGCCAUAUGAAUAUUUCACCAUUUUAUUUUUGGAUAUAUAAAGUAGAUUUGUGGAUUUGUUCUGUUGCAGGAUUCUGAGUGUUUUGAAUUGGUGGGACUUUAGGGGAAGUGGAAUUUUAUUUGAUUGUUGGAGAUGGACAGAAUCAGGUUAUCUGGCUUAUAAAUUGCAAGUUAACUUCCCAGAAUGAGCUAUCUUAGAAUGUUCAUGAAAGCAUUCAUAGAUUGCUUGCCAAUGGAAGCUCGACCAGUAUGAGAAAGCUGUUGAAGAUUAUACUAUUACACUUCGCACACAACCAUCUUACAGGAAAGCCAAACUCUCAUUGUAAUGCUAAAAUGGAAAAAUGGGAGGUUUCGAGACACCAGGAAAUGAAGAAGUAGGCUUCGAAACACCAGGAAAUUAAGGCACACUUCAACUCAGAAAGAAACAUAGGGAAGAUAUCAAAGACUUCAAAUUUGGCUCCAAUUUGGUGUUUAUUUCUAACUAUGAGCAUUUUAGGCUUCUUAUUACUUCUCUUCGUAAGUUACAAUAAAAACAAAACUAAAAUACCCAUAUAAAAAGUUUACAUCUUUCUUUGAAGUAGAGGUUUGAAUUGGUAGGGAUGCAUGUGGUUUUGUCCUUGCUGCAUUGACUCAGUGAUCAAUUGUAUUGAUGUUCUUAUUUGCUCAUGCUCUGUGAUUCAAUCCUUGUGUCUCGGCUUCUGGAAGGGUGUGAUGUGCAUAUAAUUAGCCAUCGAUGGGGUGCUCUUGUUCGUAUUUUUCUUCUUUUUUGUGGGGAUUCUUCUGCUAUAAAUAUACUUUAUGUAAGUAUAUAUAGUUAUAAAUUUUAUCUACGUUUUAGAGAUUUUGAUGGGUGUGUUAAUUUGAUGCUUCUUCAUCUGCAUUUUUUAUGUGUUAGGAUGUUCUUUUUACAAAAUUUGUAUGUAAUGUCUUCAAUUAGUAGGUGCUCACUCAGUGGUGGUGAAGUGUUUUAUUUUUCAAUCUUGAUGAGUGGGUUCUUCCUUCAUUUGGAGAUUUACAGGUUAUAUUGCUUGUGUUGAAACCUUUUAGGUCUCAAUGUCAAUUUCACCUCAAGAGAUAAUUUCAUCACCAAAUUCUCUCCAAUUGUUUGGCUCAAUUUGAUUCGUGACCCAACUUUCACUUCAUCCAACUCGAUAAUUCCUUGUCCUUUAUCCAUAAUUUCAAUCCAAUUUGACUCGAAGAUGGAAGCUCAUUUCUAUGAUGACAUAAUUUUGAACACUUGUAAAUUUUGUAUUUUGUGAACUUAUAUAGUUGCAAAUAUAUUUGGUGUACUUUUAUUGUUGGAUAAUUUCAUUAUUUUAUAAUGUAUAAAUGGAUUACAAAUUUUUACUACUAAAG